Molecule: long non-coding RNA, 640 nt
Organism: Ipomoea nil (Japanese morning glory)
Lineage: Eukaryota; Viridiplantae; Streptophyta; Magnoliopsida; Solanales; Convolvulaceae
Exons: 2
Source: RefSeq, a predicted model, not a curated record
UAAUCCACUUGUAUACAUACAACAACAACAACUCUAUAUAAAUAACAUAAGAUCUUUCUUGCUCCUCGGAGUCCUCGCUCAUUCUAAUUAUAACCUCGGAACAAAAAAAAAUGAGACGAUUCGUGGUGGUCGCAUUGAUCAUGAUGGUGGUGGCCUCUUCUUCUUGCUUGGCGGUUGGCCAUCAACUAGGGAGGAAGCUUGUGGUUGAGAACAGUGGCAACAACAAGGAUGAUAACGGCGGCGGGUAUAUGAAUUCACGUACUUAUGAUUUGGGUAAUCACCAUUGCAAACCCUGGCAAGACUUCAGCAACGACAACGGUAAUAACGGUGGCACACCCGAUGGACCUAAAGUUGGGGGUGCAUGCUAAGCUAAUAACACAUAUGAAAAUAAAUGUUUUAGGUUUUAGGGCCAUAUAUUACAUAUGUGUUAUAGUGUUUUAUUUUUAUAUAGUUUAUGCUGCACGUACGCUACAAAAUUAACAAGUUUAAUUACUGCAUGUAUGGUGAGAUUUUUAUAUGGUCAUAUUGUAGGGUAUGUGUGUGUAUACGCGCGUAUAUAUACACCGUGUGCUAUGUAUUUUAGCUUUGUCUGGGAUGGAAAUGCAUUAUUAUACGAAACAAUAAAAGAUAUUUUGGCUUU